CUAAGAUAUUGGAAGGAAACAAAAAGGUUAGGGUGACAUGUUCAUGGUUCGAAACACAGUGACAUGAUGUUUGUGACCAAGCGCGAUGCCAGGUAACUCUACCGUUGUGGGCCUCCUCAUAAAGCAAGAAUAGUUUGCUCCAAGUUUGACCAUAAACUUCACAUUAGAAGCGAUGGUCCUGUCGAUGCACUAUGCAUAUUCAUAUUUGUUUAUACAUAAGCUUCUCUGCUGAAUUGUAAUCGGCGCUCUUAGCAUUCGAAGAAAAC
RNAcentral lists this long non-coding RNA (266 nucleotides) under Hordeum vulgare. RNAcentral's name for it is "long non-coding RNA (HVUL_LNC000023)". The record is from RNAcentral. Lineage: Eukaryota; Viridiplantae; Streptophyta; Magnoliopsida; Poales; Poaceae.